Molecule: ribosomal RNA, 253 nt
Filed under: uncultured bacterium
Lineage: Bacteria
Description: partial 16S ribosomal RNA
Rfam family: Bacterial small subunit ribosomal RNA
Source: RNAcentral
UACGGGGGGGGCAAGCGUUGUUCGGAAUUACUGGGCGUAAAGGGUUUGUAGGUGGCUUGUUAAGUCAGACGUGAAAUCCCUCAGCUUAACUGGGGAACUGCGUCUGAUACUGGCGAGCUUGAGUGCAGGAGAGGAACGCGGAAUUCCAGGUGUAGCGGUGAAAUGCGUAGAUAUCUGGAGGAACACCGGUGGCGAAGGCGGCACCCUGGACCGGUAUUGACGCUGAGGCGCGAAAGCCAGGGGAGCAAACGGG